GUGUUGAGAAGUUCCUAGUGACCCCCUGUAUCUGAAACAGUAUAUAAACUUUGUAAGGCUACCUACUGUCACACUGGCAGCUACAGCAGACACUGCUUGAAGACGAGAAAGUGAGCAAUCAAGCAAGAAAUCAGAAGUAUCAAAUAAACACAAGAAGAAAGCGAUGGAGGGAAUCUACGCUCGAAGCAGCUGCAUUCUGGCUGUCAUUAUGAUCAGCUUUGUAUAUAUGUUGAAUAGCUGGCCUACAUCAACAGAUAGCAAUGAUUAUGAGCCUGGUGUUCCUUGCUAUUGGAGAUGUCCAUUGGUAUUUGAUGACUGCUUGAAAAUGGGAGAGUCACAAAAAAAGUGUUACCAGGUCUACAAAGAAUGUGGGCGUGCAUGUCGAAAGGAAGCACUAAGGAGCGUCAACGAUAAAAGUAACGUCAGACAAUGCCAGAAGAAAUGUUACGGAUUCUACCAGCAAUGCAUCACUAUAUCUGAUUCGGAAGAAUCACACAUUCUUUGCCUGAAUGCCAAAAAUGAAUGUUUCGAUUUUUGCUAGUUGAAUAUCUGUAACCCAGGUUCAAAUUAACAGUCUAGGGGUAUUCUCCACGGUCAAACUUGAUUUGAUAUUUCUAUGCAGUGUAGAGAUUUCGUUUUAAAAGAUUAACAUUGAAAUAUUAACAUUAACUGAUUUUACCGUAUUCAGUUUUAUUCAAGCAACCUUUUUACAGUGAGCAAUUUGUGUAUCACUAGCUGUAGGCAUUUGCUAAUUUUUUUUCGUCUUUGUGCUUGAUAUAUCAAUGUAUUUGUUAGAGCAAUACACUCUCUUUUAAAGCAAGGCUGAUCAAUUUUGUGAAGCGUUCUUCCUUUGUACAUAAUAUUGAUUGGUGUAUAGCAAUGAUUCA
Rhopilema esculentum is the source of this 887-nucleotide non-coding RNA. The record is from RefSeq and is a predicted model, not a curated record. NCBI's taxonomy places the organism in Eukaryota, Metazoa, Cnidaria, Scyphozoa, Rhizostomeae, Rhizostomatidae.